Molecule: non-coding RNA, 181 nt
Filed under: Streptomyces qinglanensis
Lineage: Bacteria; Bacillati; Actinomycetota; Actinomycetes; Kitasatosporales; Streptomycetaceae
Source: RNAcentral
UGGUACGUUGCAGCAGCCAGUCAAACCCUUGAUCGGGUCAGGGAAUCCGGUGCGAAUCCGGAGCUGACGCGCAGCGGUGUGGGACUGGGGCGUGCACGAGGCCACUGGGGCGCAGCCCCCGGGAAGGCGCACCGCCCCCGCAGUCCCGAGUCCGAAGACCUGCUGGCGGCCGCGCCCGGAC